RNAcentral lists this unclassified non-coding RNA (287 nucleotides) under fungal sp. Its description in RNAcentral is "partial internal transcribed spacer region". The stretch from base 1 to 46 matches the Rfam family "Eukaryotic small subunit ribosomal RNA", at positions 1786 to 1831 of the family's 1831-position model. The record is from RNAcentral. Lineage: Eukaryota; Fungi.
AAGUCGUAACAAGGUAACCGUAGGUGAACCUGCGGUUGGAUCAUUAUUGAAAAUGAAAUUUAUAUUGGUGGGUGGCGCGGUAUCUUACUGCCACCACCCAUCAUUAUAUAUUAACAACAAAACCCUUGUGAAUCUAAUUCAUGUCUUUGGAGUGACUUGGUUUUCAUUGAAGAAAGCAGAUGAGAACUCCUAUUACUACUAAAAACAUUUACAAUCUUAAUUGAGCCUUUUAAAAAGAUUUCUUAAUAAUCAAAAAAAAACUUUUGACAAUGGAUCUCUUGGCUCUC